This 252-nucleotide ribosomal RNA is filed under the name uncultured bacterium. Its description in RNAcentral is "partial 16S ribosomal RNA". It matches the Rfam family "Bacterial small subunit ribosomal RNA", at positions 524 to 776 of the family's 1533-position model. The record is from RNAcentral.
UACGUAGGGGGCAAGCGUUGUCCGGAAUCAUUGGGCGUAAAGCGCGUGUAGGCGGCUCGAUAAGUCUGCUGUGAAAGUCCAGGCUCAACCCUGGGAUGCCGGUGGAUACUGUCGAGCUCGAGUCCGGAAGAGGCGAGUGGAAUUCCUGGUGUAGCGGUGAAAUGCGCAGAUAUCAGGAGGAACACCAAUGGCGAAGGCAGCUCGCUGGGACGUGACUGACGCUGAGACGCGAAAGCGUGGGGAGCAAACAGG